Molecule: ribosomal RNA, 278 nt
Filed under: uncultured bacterium
Lineage: Bacteria
Description: partial 16S ribosomal RNA
Rfam family: Bacterial small subunit ribosomal RNA
Source: RNAcentral
GAUGAACGCUGGCGGCAGGCCUAAUACAUGCAAGUCAAGGGGCCCCGCCUUUGGGCGGGGCACCGGCGGACGGGUGAGCAGCGCGUACACAACGUGCCCCUGACCGGGGGACAGCGGCGGGAAACUGCCGGUAACGCCCCAUGGCGCCGCGGGGCGGCAUUGCCCGGCGGCGAAAGUUUCGGCGGUCGGGGAUCGGUGUGCGUCCGAUUAGGUAGUUGGCGGGGUGACGGCCCACCAAGCCUGCGAUCGGAGGGGGUGUGAGAGCACGGCCCCCACCA